RNAcentral lists this ribosomal RNA (492 nucleotides) under uncultured bacterium. RNAcentral describes it as "partial 16S ribosomal RNA". It matches the Rfam family "Bacterial small subunit ribosomal RNA", at positions 29 to 507 of the family's 1533-position model. The record is from RNAcentral.
AGUGAACGCUGGCGGUAGGCCUAACACAUGCAAGUCGAACGGCAGCACAGUAAGAGCUUGCUCUUACGGGUGGCGAGUGGCGGACGGGUGAGGAAUACAUCGGAAUCUACUUUUUCGUGGGGGAUAACGUAGGGAAACUUACGCUAAUACCGCAUACGACCUACGGGUGAAAUCAGGGGAUCUUCGGACCUUGCGCGAUUGAAUGAGCCGAUGUCGGAUUAGCUAGUUGGCGGGGUAAAGGCCCACCAAGGCGACGAUCCGUAGCUGGUCUGAGAGGAUGAUCAGCAACACUGGAACUGAGACACGGUCCAGACUCCUACGGGAGGCAGCAGUGGGGAAUAUUGGACAAUGGGCGCAAGCCUGAUCCAGCCAUACCGCGUGGGUGAAGAAGGCCUUCGGGUUGUAAAGCCCUUUUGUUGGGAAAGAAAAGCAGCAGGUUAAUACCCCGCUGUUCUGACGGUACCCAAAGAAUAAGCACCGGCUAACUUCGUG